UUCGUCUAACGGAAGCAGAGGAAAGUGGCGGACGGGUGAGUAACGCGUGAGGAACCUGCCUUGAAGAGGGGGAUAACGGCUGGAAACGGUCGCUAAUACCGCAUGACGUGUUCGGAUGGCAUCAUCUGAACAUCAAAGAUUUAUCGCUGAAAGAUGGGCUCGCGUCUGAUUAGCUGGUUGGUGAGGUAACGGCCUACCAAGUCUACGAUCAGUAGCCGGACUGAGAGGUUGAACGGCCACAUUGGGACUGAGAUACGGCCCAGACUCC
RNAcentral lists this ribosomal RNA (268 nucleotides) under uncultured Eubacteriales bacterium. Its description in RNAcentral is "uncultured Clostridiales bacterium partial 16S ribosomal RNA". It matches the Rfam family "Bacterial small subunit ribosomal RNA", at positions 68 to 339 of the family's 1533-position model. The record is from RNAcentral. Lineage: Bacteria; Bacillati; Bacillota; Clostridia; Eubacteriales.